GACUAUAAGUUUUUUGUUCUGCUCAGGACGAACGCUGGCGGCGUGCUAAUACAUGCAAGUCGAACGAACUCUGGUAUUGAUUGGUGCUUGCAUCAUGAUUUACAUUUGAGUGAGUGGCGAACUGGUGAGUAACACGUGGGAAACCUGCCCAGAAGCGGGGGAUAACACCUGGAAACAGAUGCUAAUACCGCAUAACAACUUGGACCGCAUGGUCCGAGUUUGAAAGAUGGCUUCGGCUAUCACUUUUGGAUGGUCCCGCGGCGUAUUAGCUAGAUGGUGAGGUAACGGCUCACCAUGGCAAUGAUACGUAGCCGACCUGAGAGGGUAAUCGGCCACAUUGGGACUGAGACACGGCCCAAACUCCUACGGGAGGCAGCAGUAGGGAAUCUUCCACAAUGGACGAAAGUCUGAUGGAGCAACGCCGCGUGAGUGAAGAAGGGUUUCGGCUCGUAAAACUCUGUUGUUAAAGAAGAACAUAUCUGAGAGUAACUGUUCAGGUAUUGACGGUAUUUAACCAGAAAGCCACGGCUAACUACGUGCCAGCAGCCGCGGUAAUACGUAGGUGGCAAGCGUUGUCCGGAUUUAUUGGGCGUAAAGCGAGCGCAGGCGGUUUUUUAAGUCUGAUGUGAAAGCCUUCGGCUCAACCGAAGAAGUGCAUCGGAAACUGGGAAACUUGAGUGCAGAAGAGGACAGUGGAACUCCAUGUGUAGCGGUGAAAUGCGUAGAUAUAUGGAAGAACACCAGUGGCGAAGGCGGCUGUCUGGUCUGUAACUGACGCUGAGGCUCGAAAGUAUGGGUAGCAAACAGGAUUAGAUACCCUGGUAGUCCAUACCGUAAACGAUGAAUGCUAAGUGUUGGAGGGUUUCCGCCCUUCAGUGCUGCAGCUAACGCAUAAGCAU
RNAcentral lists this ribosomal RNA (899 nucleotides) under Lactiplantibacillus plantarum. RNAcentral describes it as "bacterial SSU rRNA". It matches the Rfam family "Bacterial small subunit ribosomal RNA", at positions 1 to 867 of the family's 1533-position model. The record is from RNAcentral. Lineage: Bacteria; Bacillati; Bacillota; Bacilli; Lactobacillales; Lactobacillaceae.